AGCGAACGCUGGCGGCAGGCCUAACACAUGCAAGUCGAACGAACCUUUCGGGGUUAGUGGCGGACGGGUGAGUAACACGUGGGAACGUGCCUUUAGGUUCGGAAUAACUCAGGGAAACUUGUGCUAAUACCGAAUGUGCCCUUCGGGGGAAAGAUUAAUCGCCUUUAGAGCGGCCCGCGUCUGAUUAGCUAGUUGGUUGAGGUAAUGGCUCACCAAGGCGACGAUCAGUAGCUGGUCUGAGAGGAUGAUCAGCCACAUUGGGACUGAGACACGGCCCAAACUCCUACGGGAGGCAGCAGUGGGGAAUCUUGCGCAAUGGGCGAAAGCCUGACGUAGCCAUGCCGCGUGAAUGAUGAAGGUCUUAGGAUUGUAAAAUUCUUUCACCGGGGACGAUAAUGACGGUACCCGGAGAAGAAGCCCCGGCUAACUUCGU
This 433-nucleotide ribosomal RNA is filed under the name uncultured bacterium. RNAcentral describes it as "partial 16S ribosomal RNA". It matches the Rfam family "Bacterial small subunit ribosomal RNA", at positions 29 to 506 of the family's 1533-position model. The record is from RNAcentral.